UAAGUACUCCCUCCGUUUCGAAUUAUUCGUCGCAGAAAUAGAUGUAUCUAGUUGUAUUUUAGUUCUAGAUACAUUCAUUUCUGCGACGAGUAAUUUGGAACGGAGGGAGUAUAUC
Triticum aestivum (bread wheat) is the source of this 115-nucleotide non-coding RNA. Lineage: Eukaryota; Viridiplantae; Streptophyta; Magnoliopsida; Poales; Poaceae. The record is from Rfam.